CGGCGGACGGGUGAGUAACACGUGGGUAACCUACCUAUAAGACUGGGACAACUUCGGGAAACCGGAGCUAAUACCGGAUAAGAUAUCGAACCGCAUGGUUCGAUAGUGAAAGAUGGUUUUGCUAUCACUUAUAGAUGGACCCGCGCCGUAUUAGCUAGUUGGUGAGGUAACGGCUCACCAAGGCAACGAUACGUAGCCGACCUGAGAGGGUGAUCGGCCACACUGGAACUGAGACACGGUCCAGACUCCUACGGGAGGCAGCAGAGC
Molecule: ribosomal RNA, 267 nt
Filed under: uncultured Staphylococcus sp.
Lineage: Bacteria; Bacillati; Bacillota; Bacilli; Caryophanales; Staphylococcaceae
Description: partial 16S ribosomal RNA
Rfam family: Bacterial small subunit ribosomal RNA
Source: RNAcentral